AUCCAGUUGACGAGUCCUAAUUAGGACGAAAUGCCCAUCCUGGAU
Molecule: non-coding RNA, 45 nt
Filed under: Trichobilharzia regenti
Lineage: Eukaryota; Metazoa; Platyhelminthes; Trematoda; Strigeidida; Schistosomatidae
Source: RNAcentral